Long non-coding RNA from Syngnathus acus (greater pipefish), 514 nucleotides. RefSeq lists it as uncharacterized. NCBI's taxonomy places the organism in Eukaryota, Metazoa, Chordata, Actinopteri, Syngnathiformes, Syngnathidae. The record is from RefSeq and is a predicted model, not a curated record. The transcript is spliced from 2 exons.
AAGAUCUAGUGAAACCUCGGGGGACAUUUUCUAGCGCAAUGCACAGGUCUAACUGCGCAUGGGUUGUGUUUUCGUUGUUCUGGUAUUUAUUUUCUUAGACGGGCAUGGUUAGAAAUGGCUUGCAAGACUGGCAAAGAGUUGAAUGUACAUUUUAAUACAACCGGUGUGGAAUAGUCAUGUUUCACAUCCUGGUCAAAGUAGCGGGUAAUGGAAAAUGCACAUACAACGCUGUCUGCAAACAUGGAGAGAAUCCUGCAGCUCCUCCCCCGCCCUCUGUCAUACUUCUUGCACUCUCACCUUGGUUGAAAUUCCAAAAGGUAGACAAAAAAAUUCUUAUGGGAAAACCAACAACAUCAAAAGGCACGGAAAGAUAUGCCUCAAAAACCGCAAUAACUUAACACUUACAUGAAAGUUUGAAAAUAUAACCGCCAAGUAUCUGCGUUUCUUGUGGCCUUUGGGUUUUGUUCCCACUUCUCAGACUGGGAGCGUCUGCUUCGGAUUUCCUACUAGUCAA